UACGUAGGUGGCAAGCGUUAUCCGGAAUUAUUGGGCGUAAAGCGCGCGCAGGUGGUUUCUUAAGUCUGAUGUGAAAGCCCACGGCUCAACCGUGGAGGGUCAUUGGAAACUGGGAGACUUGAGUGCAGAAGAGGAAAGUGGAAUUCCAUGUGUAGCGGUGAACUGCGUAGAGAUAUGGAGGAACACCAGUGGCGAAGGCGACUUUCUGGUCUGUAACUGACACUGAGGCGCGAAAGCGUGGGGAGCAAACAUU
This 253-nucleotide ribosomal RNA is filed under the name uncultured bacterium. RNAcentral's name for it is "partial 16S ribosomal RNA". It matches the Rfam family "Bacterial small subunit ribosomal RNA", at positions 524 to 776 of the family's 1533-position model. The record is from RNAcentral.